CGACCACUCCGUCCUGCUGCCUCUGGCCGCCUCCCAAACCUACUGCUGCCUGAACCGUCCUCUACCCCCGGGAUCCAAAUCGAUGGGCGAGUUCGUCGGUGAUUGCCGCUGCCGAUGAUAGGAGCUCGCCACACCGCGGGAAUGGUGGUGAGGAGACAAGGAGGAAGGGAUGUUCUCGUUGCCCAUGUUGCUACUUCUAGCAGUCCACCCGGAGCUGUUGCUGGCCAUCUUCUGGCGACAACCUCUCUGAGCUCCUGCUGGCCAACAAGCUGCUGACCUAUCUGUGGCCACUGUUUCUGGUGCCUGGUUGCUUCAUACCGAAAUGUGGUGUAUCUGAAUUGGCAGCUUUGGCCACCUGCAUGGCUUCCCUGGCUUCUGAUGUGCCCCUGGAGCCUGCCACUAGUUUGCCAUGCUGACGGCACAUGCAGCAGCGGUAGGAGCCGUCGAGUGAUCCAUUGGGAAUCUGUGCGUCCUCAGAGCAACUACAGCAGGUGCAGUUGUCGGAUCGGUUGGGAACAUCUACGUGGAGGUGGCCUCCCACUUCUCCCAGAAGGGCAAGAAAGGGCCCUAACUAGUACGCCGCCAUCCUCUGCCAGGACCGUUCUCUAGUCUCGGGAUCCAUAUGGAUGGACGAGUUCCUUGGUGGUGGUCGCGCCCGACGGGAGGAGCUCGCCACACCGCAGGAAUGGAGACGGGGAGACAAGGAGGAAGAGAUGGUUCUCGCUGCUUGUGUUGCUGUUGCUGGUAGUCCACCCAGAGCUGUUGUUGGCCGUCUUCCGGCGACCACCUCUCCGAGCUCCUGCUGCCCAACAAGCUGCUGCCCUUGCUGACGUGUUGCAGCUAUCCGUGGCCGCGGUUUUUGGUGCCUCGUUGUUGCAUACCGAAACAUGGUGUUCCUUGGUCAGCACCACUUUGGCUGCCAGCAUGCCUUCACUGGCUUCUGAUGCGCCCCUGGAGCCUGCCACUGGCCUGCCGCGCUGAUGGUACCUGGAGCAGGGUAGAAGCAGUCCAAUGGUCCAUUGGGGUUCUGUGCAUCCUCGGAGCACCUAUAGCUGGGGCAUGUGUCGGAUGAGAACAUUGUGUAGGCGGAAGUAGCAUCCGGCAUCGCUCCUCUCCUAGAAGGGCAAGAAAGGGCACUAACCAGUACAUCGUCAUGCUCUGCCAGGUUACUGUGCAGUGAUUUAAUUAUCAAAUUGGUGAAAUACCAAGCCUCUGUUGACUUGGAGUAGGCUUCAUGAACUUGUAUCUUAAUCCUUGAUAUCAGAAUGGCAGCUGUAGGAGACGAAGAGGUUGAGGGAUAGGAUCUGUGUGAUCAUGGGCCAGUGUGGAAAAUGUGCAGCGGCGCUCUCUUGCUGGCGACGAAGACCAGCUCAGCCGCCACACGGUUGGGCCUCCUUGUUGGGCCUUUCUGCCACUUGGACCAAGAGGGCAACCCUGCUUCUCCCUAACUGCGGGACAAUGGAAGGUUGAUGCUGUUGUACGUGUUCAUUGACGUGCUUAUGCCAUUUGAAGGUUUUCAGGGAAAUGGCAAGAAUGUCACCAAUCGGGAGAAGCACAUAGACUCAAAUUUUGCAAAGGUUGUUGAGCUGAGUGAUAGCGAGAGGUACUCAUGCUGGAUGCAUCUAUGUCAUGUAACUUGGUUUGAACUUUGAGAGGUUAAGGGGUCCAUGGAUGCGUUUGAGCAAUCCAAUGGAGAUGAGCAGCUGGACCUGUAUUUGAUGGGAGGCCGAAUGACCACUCCUUGACAUGUGUGAUACAUAGGAUCCCGCCGUUGAUCAAGGCUUAUCUUUGUAAUGCUCCAGACCAGAAGCUUUUGUAAUGCUCGAGACAAUAAAGUUAUAAUAGUGUUGUAGAUGUUUCCUUUGUCGUAUGUAAUUUCUUUUU
Lolium rigidum is the source of this 1884-nucleotide long non-coding RNA. RefSeq lists it as uncharacterized. Lineage: Eukaryota; Viridiplantae; Streptophyta; Magnoliopsida; Poales; Poaceae. The transcript is spliced from 10 exons. The record is from RefSeq and is a predicted model, not a curated record.